ACGCUCGACACCUACGGGAGCAGCAGUGGGGAAUAUUGCACAAUGGGGGAAACCCUGAUGCAGCGACGCCGCGUGAGUGAAGAAGUAUUUCGGUAUGUAAAGCUCUAUCAGCAGGGAAGAAGAUGACGGUACCUGAGUAAGAAGCCCCGGCUAACUACGUGCCAACAGCCGCGGUAAUCUGAGCGGCUGGCAAGGC
RNAcentral lists this ribosomal RNA (196 nucleotides) under uncultured bacterium. RNAcentral describes it as "partial 16S ribosomal RNA". It matches the Rfam family "Bacterial small subunit ribosomal RNA", at positions 328 to 539 of the family's 1533-position model. The record is from RNAcentral.